RNAcentral lists this long non-coding RNA (455 nucleotides) under Setaria italica (foxtail millet). Its description in RNAcentral is "long non-coding RNA (SITA_LNC005486)". The record is from RNAcentral. Lineage: Eukaryota; Viridiplantae; Streptophyta; Magnoliopsida; Poales; Poaceae.
CUCUAACUAGUUACUUCAUUCCCUCAUGAUAUACCAAUCCAGGGUGUGUAGCUGUACACAAUAUUUUCCAAGAGGGAAAGGCCCUGAACGCUGCACUGUCCCAUCCAAUGAAUUGUUCCGGAGCGUCUCCCUGGUCGAGGUAGUGUCGAGGUGCUUACUGGCACUCAGGCUCCGAACCUUGCUAAGCACCGUCCCCUUGUUUGAACGCCACGUAAAAGCAAAUACCACGGGGUCGAUGAGGCCAAGCUGCUCUUCAAAGCAUACAUGGAGCUCGUGAUGUAGCCAAGCUCUGAAUGCCUGAUAAUCUGCUACAUGUGGUUGCCUUUGUGCAUUGGACGCAGUUCCAGAUGCCUCUAAUUCCCAGCAUAUUUUGUCCGAGCUGUUUCUCGAGUUUGCCGUCCUCUUCUGCUUACAUUUUGGCCUACUUGCUAGUUGCUACUUUGCACGAGGAUAGC